GCCCAUGUAGCUCAGUGGCAGAGCACUCCCUUGGUAAGGGAGAGGUCGCCCGUUCAAUCCGGGCCAUGGGCACCA
RNAcentral lists this transfer RNA (75 nucleotides) under bacterium. RNAcentral's name for it is "tRNA-Thr". It matches the Rfam family "tRNA". Rfam says of the family: Transfer RNA (tRNA) molecules are approximately 80 nucleotides in length. Their secondary structure includes four short double-helical elements and three loops (D, anti-codon, and T loops). Further hydrogen bonds mediate the characteristic L-shaped molecular structure. tRNAs have two regions of fundamental functional importance: the anti-codon, which is responsible for specific mRNA codon recognition, and the 3' end, to which the tRNAs corresponding amino acid is attached (by aminoacyl-tRNA synthetases). tRNAs cope with the degeneracy of the genetic code in two manners: having more than one tRNA (with a specific anti-codon) for a particular amino acid; and 'wobble' base-pairing, i.e. permitting non-standard base-pairing at the 3rd anti-codon position. The record is from RNAcentral. RNAcentral also lists the same sequence under 9 other names.